GAUGAACGCUAGCUACAGGCUUAACACAUGCAAGUCGAGGGGAAACGGCAUCGAAAGCUUGCUUUUGAUGGGCGUCGACCGGCGCACGGGUGAGUAACGCGUAUCCAACCUGCCCAUCACUUGGGAAUAACCUUGCGAAAGUAAGACUAAUGCCCAAUGACAUCCCACGAAGGCAUCCGAAUGGGAUUAAAGAUUUAUCGGUGAUGGAUGGGGAUGCGUCUGAUUAGCUUGUUGGCGGGGUGACGGCCCACCAAGGCAACGAUCAGUAGGGGUCCUGAGAGGAAGGUCCCCCACAUUGGAACUGAGACACGGUCCAAACUCCUACGGGAGGCAGCAGUGAGGAAUAUUGGUCAAUGGGCGAGAGCCUGAACCAGCCAAGUAGCGUGCAGGAUGACGGCCCUAUGGGUUGUAAACUGCUUUUAUAAGGGAAUAAAGUGGGUCACGUGUGACUUUUUGCAUGUACCUUAUGAAUAAGGACCGGCUAAUUCCGUG
RNAcentral lists this ribosomal RNA (492 nucleotides) under uncultured bacterium. RNAcentral describes it as "partial 16S ribosomal RNA". It matches the Rfam family "Bacterial small subunit ribosomal RNA", at positions 28 to 507 of the family's 1533-position model. The record is from RNAcentral.